RNAcentral lists this non-coding RNA (31 nucleotides) under Rattus norvegicus (Norway rat). Lineage: Eukaryota; Metazoa; Chordata; Mammalia; Rodentia; Muridae. The record is from RNAcentral.
UGACAGGUGGACUUCUUUUGUAUAAUGAUGU